CGUGGCCAAGCACGACUCCAACACCAUCAUCAAGGUUGUUGACGACACGACGGCGGUAGGCCUGGUCACCGAUGGCGAUAAGCCUACAGAGAGGAGAUCAGAGAAUUAGCCGUGUGUUGCCAGGACAACAACCUCUCCCUCAAUGUCAGUAAGACCAAGGAGCUGAUCGUGGACUAUAGGAGAAAGAGGGGAGAGCACACCCCCAUCCACUUCGACUGGGCUGUUGUGGAGUGGGUCGAGAGCUCUGGGGGCCCAUGCGCCUUUCUGGCAUUGAUCUGACCCAUCACACCAGUCUUCAAGAGGGCCACUAUGCUUCAGGUCGCCUUCUGUGAUCAGAGAACCUUGAUGAGGAUCUACCCCAUCACACAACUCUUAAUUUUUUAUUUAUUAUCUAACUAGGCAAGUCAGUUGAGAACAAAUUCUUAUUUUCAAUGACGGCCUAGGAACAGUGGGAUAACUGCCUUGUUCAGGGGCAGAACGACAGAUUUGUACCUUGUAAGCUCGGGGAUUCAAACUUGUAACCUUUCGGUAGUAGACUGGUUGCAAGUUUGAUUCCCCGAGCUGACAAGGUACAAAUCUGCCGCCCCAAUUAAUCAAAUAAAACUAUGGGCAUUUAUAUAUGCUGUGUCCCAGUCUUUCUUUGCAU
RNAcentral lists this long non-coding RNA (646 nucleotides) under Oncorhynchus kisutch (coho salmon). RNAcentral's name for it is "lncRNA (ENSOKIG00005006114.1)". The record is from RNAcentral. Lineage: Eukaryota; Metazoa; Chordata; Actinopteri; Salmoniformes; Salmonidae.